RNAcentral lists this transfer RNA (75 nucleotides) under Deltaproteobacteria bacterium. RNAcentral's name for it is "tRNA-Glu". It matches the Rfam family "tRNA". Rfam says of the family: Transfer RNA (tRNA) molecules are approximately 80 nucleotides in length. Lineage: Bacteria; Pseudomonadati; Myxococcota; Myxococcia. The record is from RNAcentral.
GGUCCCAUCGUCUAGCGGUUAGGAUAACGGCCUCUCACGCCGUAGACACGGGUUCGAUUCCCGUUGGGACUACCA